RNAcentral lists this ribosomal RNA (263 nucleotides) under uncultured bacterium. RNAcentral's name for it is "partial 16S ribosomal RNA". It matches the Rfam family "Bacterial small subunit ribosomal RNA", at positions 94 to 353 of the family's 1533-position model. The record is from RNAcentral.
AGUGGCGAACGGGUGNGUAACGCGUGAGGAACCUGCCUCAAANAGGGGGACAACAGUUGGAAACGACUGCUAAUACCGCAUAAGCCCACGGGUCGGCAUCGACCAGAGGGAAAAGGAGCAAUCCGCUUUGAGAUGGCCUCGCGUCCGAUUAGCUAGUUGGUGAGGUAAUGGCCCACCAAGGCAACGAUCGGUAGCCGGACUGAGAGGUUGAACGGCCACAUUGGGACUGAGACACGGCCCAGACUCCUACGGGAGGCAGCAUG